This 253-nucleotide ribosomal RNA is filed under the name uncultured bacterium. Its description in RNAcentral is "partial 16S ribosomal RNA". It matches the Rfam family "Bacterial small subunit ribosomal RNA", at positions 524 to 776 of the family's 1533-position model. The record is from RNAcentral.
UACAGGGGGGGCAAGCGUUGUUCGGAAUUACUGGGCGUAAAGGGCUCGUAGGUGGCCAACUAAGUCAGACGUGAAAUCCCUCAGCUUAACUGGGGAACUGCGUCUGAUACUGGAUGGCUUGAGUUUGGGAGAGGGAUGCGGAAUUCCAGGUGUAGCGGUGAAAUGCGUAGAUAUCUGGAGGAACACCUGUGGCGAAAGCGGCUCACUGGACCAUUACUGACGCUGAUGCACGAAAGCUAGGGGAGCAAACAGG